This is a non-coding RNA of Gasterosteus aculeatus aculeatus (three-spined stickleback), 1303 nucleotides long. The record is from RefSeq and is a predicted model, not a curated record. Lineage: Eukaryota; Metazoa; Chordata; Actinopteri; Perciformes; Gasterosteidae.
CCCGCUAAGACGCCAAGAAGCUUGCACCCAAAUCAUCAGUCCAUACGAGAUUGACUCCAUCAUCAGCCCUUCUGCUGUCCGUCUUAAACUCCCAGCUUCUAUGCGUAUCCAUCCCACUUUCCAUGUGUCUCUGUUAAAACCCCUUUUCUCCAGUCCACUUUGCCCUCCAGUCAAUCCCCCUCUACCCCCCCCGGGUCGUGGACGGUCAGCCUGUCUACACGGUCAAUCGGAUUCUGGAUGUUCGACACCGGGGUCGCGGUUUACAGUACCUGGUACACUGGGAGGGAUAUGGCCCAAAGGAACAUUCUUUGGUCCCUCGUCAGUUCAUCCUGGAUCCAUCCCUCAUCUCAGAUUUCAACAGGGCCAGGAGGGGUGAGUUCUCCGGCAUGCUGGGGCAGCGUUGAGGGGGGGGGUACUGUCACGAUCAUGCUUGGCUGUUGCUGUUUUCUGAGUCUUAGGUGAGGGCGGGGCAGGUUUCCUGGGACGGAGGCUGGAUCACUCCUGCCAUCACACCUGCUAAUAAUCAACCCUCGUCUGAACACCCUUCUUAAGGAUCUGCAGGAGCUCCAGUCUUCGCCAGAUUAUCUUGCUUCUAGAGUGCUUACCUCCCGUUGCCGGAAUCGGCUACACGUUUGGAGCCUUCACCGCCUUCCGCUUCGCCCCCUGCCUGCUCGCCCCACCACGGACUGUAGCCUCAGCAUACAGCCAGCUCCCUCCUCUCCUAUCUGGACUCCCCUCUACUACAUGCCCCUCCUUUCCUGAGGGUCCUCACCCCCCACCCCCCUGAAGAUCUUCAACAUUUCUACCCAAUAAACAUUGUUCUCACUCCCACCUCUGCCUACAGUAUCUGCAUUUGGGCCCUCACAUUACAGGGGACGACUAGUCCAGCUAGCCGUGACAAUGUAAUGUAAUCCUGAAUUCAUGUAUUUUUUCAAUUCUAUAUACAUUUUAAAAGUAAUUAUUUUGUCAUAAAGAACAGGGUAAGGAUGCGUGUAGCUCCUAGUGGUAAUACAAUCUUAAGGAUACCUAUCAUUUCAAGGCCACAUUCUAAGACACACUCGGAAAGCGAGGGGGUGAGCUGAAUUUUUUUACUGCUUGUAGUGUGCAACCUCGCCACUAGAUAUCACUAAAUCUUAUACACUGUUUAUUAAGAAAAUUCCAUUAAAAUCAUUAGACUGUUUUCCCAACUAGAUUGACAGCCUCUGUUUUCUAAGAAAGUGUAUAAAACACCUGCAUAUGUCCAAAGGCAAAACUGUCAGUUAACUUUUUUCAUUUUCAAACAUUAAAAUGAAAUAUUUUUGUU